GACGAACGCUGGCGGCGUGCUUAACACAUGCAAGUCGAACGGAAAGGCCCUGCUUGCAGGGUACUCGAGUGGCCAACGGGUGAGUAACUCGUGGGUGAUCUGCCCUGCACUUCGGGAUAAGCCUGGGAAACUGGGUCUAAUACCGGCUAGGUGCCAUUUUUAGUGUGAUGGUUGGAAAGUUUUUUCGGUUUAGGAUGAGCUCGCGGCCUAUCAGCUUGUUGGUGGGGUGAUGGCCUACCAAGGCGGCGACGGGUAGCCGGCCUGAGAGGGUGGACGGCCACAUUGGGACUGAGAGACGGCACAGACUCCUACGGGAGGCAGAAGUGGGGAAUACUGCACAAUGAGCGCAAGCCUGAUGCAGAGACGCCGCGUGGGGGAUGACGGCCUUCGGGUUGUAAACUCAUUUCGCUAGGGACGAAGCUUUUUGUGACGGUACCUAGAUAAGAAGCACCGGCUAACUACGUG
Molecule: ribosomal RNA, 465 nt
Filed under: uncultured bacterium
Lineage: Bacteria
Description: partial 16S ribosomal RNA
Rfam family: Bacterial small subunit ribosomal RNA
Source: RNAcentral